UGGGGAAUUUUGGACAAUGGGCGAAAGCCUGAUCCAGCAAUGCCGCGUGUGUGAAGAAGGCCUUCGGGUUGUAAAGCACUUUUGUCCGGAAAGAAAUCCUUGGCUCUAAUACAGUCGGGGGAUGACGGUACCGGAAGAAUAAGCACCGGCUAACUACGUGCCAGCAGCCGCGGUAAUACGUAGGGUGCAAGCGUUAAUCGGAAUUACUGGGCGUAAAGCGUGCGCAGGCGGUUUGCUAAGACCGAUGUGAAAUCCCCGGGCUCAACCUGGGAACUGCAUUGGUGACUGGCAGGCUAGAGUAUGGCAGAGGGGGGUAGAAUUCCACGUGUAGCAGUGAAAUGCGUAGAGAUGUGGAGGAAUACCGAUGGCGAAGGCAGCCCCCCUGGGCCAAAUACUGACGCUCAUGCACGAAAGCGUGGGGAGCAAAACAGGAUUAGAUACCCUGGUAGUCCACGCCCUAAACGAUGUCAACUAGUUGUUGGGGAUUCAUUUCCUUAGUAACGUAGCUAACGCGUGAAGUUGACCGCCUGGGGAGUACGGUCGCAAGAUUAAAACUCAAAGGAAUUGACGGGGUCAUAGCUGUUUCCU
This 588-nucleotide ribosomal RNA is filed under the name uncultured bacterium. RNAcentral's name for it is "partial 16S ribosomal RNA". It matches the Rfam family "Bacterial small subunit ribosomal RNA", at positions 355 to 1375 of the family's 1533-position model. The record is from RNAcentral.